UGGAUAGACUUCGGAGAAGGAAUAUGACAUAUAUAUAUUGUUACGAACUGUCUUAAAGGUGUUCCAAGCGGAUUCAAAGCGGUUAUAAAAAUUUCUUAAAAGAAUCUUGAUAAAAUAUAAAUUUGUAUAUAAGUUGUUCGUUACUCUAAUAAAAUUCCGUUAAUAUUGUUUUGCGGGAGAUUGUUCUACAAGAAGAAAGGAGGGGAAACGGAGAUUAAGGAGCACCCGGAACAAGCUUGAGGUGAAAAAAAGCGGAAUGACGACUGAGAUACGCAAAUAAAGUCUCGUGGAUUGUGGAGAUAAAUCGUGAUCCGACAAAGGGGAUUUCUCUAUUGAGACGGAUAUUCAAAAUUCAGCUCAGGUUUAGGAAAACAAUUAACCUGUUGACAACCUCGAGUUGUACGAUUAAUUUGUUGAUGAGUUCAGGCUGUGCUGUCAAGUUAUUAAAUUCAGUCGGAAAUCCAGUGACAGGAUUAUAUUACUUGGUGAAACCAAAUGAGUUUGAUAGUUCGGAACAUUUACGAGAAAGUUUUGCUCAUUUUGAAUUUAUCUCCAAGGCUAAUUAUUAGGAAGAGCCGGUGAAGGCAUUAAUUCCCAUCUCGUGUUUACGUGGAAGGGCACCUACUGUUUUGGUGACGGUGAAAGAUCCGACGAGUUUGACGUUUACAGAAUUGAAGAGGCAGGACCGGAUGUGUUUUUAGUAAAUCCUAAACUUGUCAAUUGAUCUUUAGUAAGGGGCUUCUUGGCAAAGAUGAGAAAGGAAAGAUGGAAUUUCCUAAAAAACUAUUUCUAGUGAUAGUAGAGAUUGCGAAUGAUUGUAUCUUAAAGAACGACUUUUUGGUAAAGACAGGAAAAUUCUUGGAAUCAAUGAAGCAAGAAAAGAAUUUCUCAAAGUUUCUUCAUGAUUUUUUAAAAAAGAAGAUGUCGCAGAAAAUUGAAGGAACACAUAGAAUUAAUCGAUUUUCACUUCAUAAACCAAAUUCCUCAUAGGAUUCUUUUUCACUUGAAAAGGAAAGUGGACCAGAUUAUCGAGGAUGUGAAAACUCAGAGGGUGAUAAAAGAAUCUUCGAGCCUUAGGAUCUUUUCUGCGAUACUUGUACGUAAGAAGGAUGGUACCUAGAGAUUUUCUGUCAACAAGAAAUUGAACACAGUAACAAAGAAGAUGAUUUAUUUGAUCCAUUGGGCAAAAAUGGUUACGACUCUUGAUUUGAAGAAUGGAUGUAGAUAAAUGGAAAUUCGUUGGGACUAUGCAAUGAUCCAGCUAUAUUUGAAUGUUUGACGUUUUCUAGAAUUUAUUGAAUAGGAUUUGCUUGGUAUGUCUUGAUGAUAUAAUUAUUUAUAACUGUAUCUUUGAAGCAAUGUUGGAAAAUUUAUGGGAGAUCUUUGCAAAAUUAUGUAUGGCAGAUGUGAAGAUUAAUCCAGAGAACAAUAAAUUUUUCAAAAAGGAAGUAAAAUAUUUGGGACACGUAAUCUUGAAAAAGGAUCAGUCUAUGGAUAAGGAAAAGACUGAGAUUACAGCGAGUAGACCUGUAUCUUGAAAUAGCAAACAAGUUAGAAGCUUUCUAGGAUUUUGUUCAUAUUAUCAUAGGUUUGUAAAGGGUUAAUUGCAAACUCGUUAAUCACAAAAUCUUUGUAUUUAUUAAUGAAAACAAGAAGAUAUUUUCAUGGAAUUAAGAUCAUCAAAAAUCAUUUGAAAGCUUUAAAGAGAUUCUCACAUGAUUUUUCCGUAUUUAUGGAACAAUUUCUGUCUUCAACUGGAACUCAAUCUGAGAGGACUCGCACAUUUGCCAGAUUAUAUAUAUAACUGGAUUAUAAAUUUUUAUAUAAGUUAUUUGUUAAGUUCUGUUAAUGUUGUUACGUGGGAGAAUGUUCUAUGUAACAAUAUAUUGUUAUCAGAACAUAUAUGCUCAGAACAAGUAGGCUGUUUCCAGACCUACGUUUUAUUUCCAUGAUUUGUUUACAAAAAGCAACAAGCAGUGAUAGUGAGAGUUCGAUUGGAGAGGACCUAGCAUACAAGUACUCUAGAUUUUAAAGAUUAUUGAGAAGCUGAACUGUAGAUAGAUGUUAAUAGUCUUAAAAAAGUUCUAUUAAC
Molecule: long non-coding RNA, 2092 nt
Organism: Vespula vulgaris
Lineage: Eukaryota; Metazoa; Arthropoda; Insecta; Hymenoptera; Vespidae
Exons: 4
Source: RefSeq, a predicted model, not a curated record